RNAcentral lists this ribosomal RNA (497 nucleotides) under uncultured bacterium. Its description in RNAcentral is "partial 16S ribosomal RNA". It matches the Rfam family "Bacterial small subunit ribosomal RNA", at positions 28 to 507 of the family's 1533-position model. The record is from RNAcentral.
GAUGAACGCUGGCGGCGUGCCUAAUACAUGCAAGUCGAGCGAACAGACGAGGAGCUUACUCCUCUGACGUUAGCGGCGGACGGGUGAGUAACACGUGGAUAACCUACCUAUAAGACUGGGAUAACUUCGGGAAACCGGAGCUAAUACCGGAUAACAUGUUGAACCGCAUGGUUCAACAGUGAAAGACGGUCUUGCUUUCACUUAUAGAUGGAUCCGCGUCGCAUUAGCUAGUUGGUAAGGUAACGGCUUACCAAGGCAACGAUGCGUAGCCGACCUGAGAGGGUGAUCGGCCACACUGGAACUGAGACACGGUCCAGACUCCUACGGGAGGCAGCAGUAGGGAAUCUUCCGCAAUGGGCGAAAGCCUGACGGAGCAACGCCGCGUGAGUGAAGAAGGUCUUCGGAUCGUAAAACUCUGUUAUUAGGGAAGAACAAAUGUGUAAGUAACUAUGCACGUCUUGACGGUACCUAAUCAGAAAGCCACGGCUAACUACGUG